AUGGUGUGCAGGGCGAAGAAGGCGAAGAAGGGGAGGUCGCCGCUGGCGGAGGAGAUGGAGGCCUUCUUCGCCGCGGCGGAGGGCGACGUCGCGCGGCGCUUCGCUGCCAAGUACAACUAUGACGUCGUCGCAGACGCUCCCAUGGAUGGGCAUCAGCAAGCUCCCAUGCUGAGAUCGACAAGCUCGACCUCGGCAUCGGCAAGUACAACAAGACCUGUUGCAGCAUCGUCACCAAGCACGUCGCCGAGUGGGAGGCCGUCGUCAUGCACAUGGGGAGGUGGAUUGACUACAAGGCUGACUUGCAAGGGGAGGUGGUCCAUCGCCUUGGCCGUCCUCACCGUCGGCUUCUCUCCUCUAAGUUAUCCCACUGAUUCCUCCCCUCUGCUUAUCUCCCAUGCUCUAUGUGGUAAAUCUUAUGAUGGCCUUGGCGCCAUGGAAAUUUCUGCUUUGGCCAUAAGAUCUUGGACUUGCUGUCAUCUUGGAUUGAUUAUAAGCUUGAUGUUGUCUUGGCUUCUUAGAACUAAGAAUAGUAACCCUCCAAAGUGA
Molecule: ribosomal RNA, 546 nt
Filed under: Triticum aestivum (bread wheat)
Lineage: Eukaryota; Viridiplantae; Streptophyta; Magnoliopsida; Poales; Poaceae
Description: partial small subunit ribosomal RNA
Source: RNAcentral